GAAAUGCGAUAAGUAGUGUGAAUUGCAGAAUUCAGUGAAUCAUCGAAUCUUUGAACGCACAUUGCGCCCCUUGGUAUUCCAUGGGGCAUGCCUGUUCGAGCGUCAUUUGUACCCUCAAGCUCUGCUUGGUGUUGGGUGUUUGUCCCCGUCUCCGCGCGUGGACUCGCCCCAAAGUGAUUGGCAGCCGGCGUACUGGUCCCGGAGCGCAGCACAUGUCGCGCAAACGAGUGCCUUGGUACGGCGGCGUCCAUAAGCCCCUCUCUCACGCUCUUGACCUCGGGUCAGGUAGGGAUACCCGCUGAACUUAAGC
Molecule: unclassified non-coding RNA, 310 nt
Filed under: plant metagenome
Description: partial contains 5.8S ribosomal RNA, internal transcribed spacer 2, and large subunit ribosomal RNA
Rfam family: 5.8S ribosomal RNA (bases 1-105)
Source: RNAcentral